UACGUAGGGUGCAAGCGUUGUCCGGAAUUAUUGGGCGUAAAGGGCUCGUAGGCGGUCCAUCACGUCGGGAGUGAAAAGCUGGGGCUUAACCCCAGUCCUGCUUCCGAUACGGGUGGACUAGAGUGUGGUAGGGGAGACUGGAAUUCCUGGUGUAGCGGUGGAAUGCGCAGAUAUCAGGAGGAACACCGAUGGCGAAGGCAGGUCUCUGGGCCAUUACUGACACUGAGAAGCGAAAGCAUGGGGAGCGAACAGG
This 253-nucleotide ribosomal RNA is filed under the name uncultured bacterium. Its description in RNAcentral is "partial 16S ribosomal RNA". It matches the Rfam family "Bacterial small subunit ribosomal RNA", at positions 524 to 776 of the family's 1533-position model. The record is from RNAcentral.